AUUGAACGCUGGCGGCAUGCUUUACACAUGCAAGUCGAACGGCAGCGCGGGCUUCGGCCUGGCGGCGAGUGGCGAACGGGUGAGUAAUGCAUUGGAACGUGCCCAGUAGUGGGGGAUAGCCCGGCGAAAGCCGGAUUAAUACCGCAUACGACCUGAGGGUGAAAGCGGGGGACCGAAAGGCCUCGCGCUAUUGGAGCGGCCGAUGUCGGAUUAGCUAGUUGGUGGGGUAAAGGCUUACCAAGGCGACGAUCCGUAGCUGGUCUGAGAGGACGACCAGCCACACUGGGACUGAGACACGGCCCAGACUCCUACGGGAGGCAGCAGUGGGGAAUUUUGGACAAUGGGGGCAACCCUGAUCCAGCCGUGCCGCGUGCGGGAAGAAGGCCUUCGGGUUGUAAACCGCUUUUGUUCGGGAAGAAAUCCUCUGGGCUAAUACCCCGGGGGGAUGACGGUACCGGAAGAAUAAGCACCGGCUAACUACGUG
RNAcentral lists this ribosomal RNA (484 nucleotides) under uncultured bacterium. RNAcentral's name for it is "partial 16S ribosomal RNA". It matches the Rfam family "Bacterial small subunit ribosomal RNA", at positions 28 to 507 of the family's 1533-position model. The record is from RNAcentral.